Molecule: transfer RNA, 66 nt
Filed under: Lachnospiraceae bacterium
Lineage: Bacteria; Bacillati; Bacillota; Clostridia; Lachnospirales; Lachnospiraceae
Description: tRNA-Arg
Source: RNAcentral
GUUUCCGUAGCUCAGUUGGAUAGAGCGACCGCCUCCUAAGCGGUAGCUCGUUCGUUUCCUGGAGGG